This 561-nucleotide long non-coding RNA is filed under the name Phoenix dactylifera (date palm). Its description in RNAcentral is "long non-coding RNA (PDAC_LNC021671)". The record is from RNAcentral. Lineage: Eukaryota; Viridiplantae; Streptophyta; Magnoliopsida; Arecales; Arecaceae.
UAUUUGGUACAUUUGCAACAUAAUCUCAAAUAACUGAAACAAGAGUUGAUGGUCAUGGUCAUAGGUGUAGUUGUGGCUAUGAUAUUGUUUAUGUUUUGAAAAUAAUGAAGUCUAGUGCUUAAGCUCGAUGGCCUUGAAUUUAACUGUUCUUGUAUUGGACAUCCUGAGGAACCCGAAGAACUGCUUAACCUUUUUUAACUAGUAGUGGCUUCAUCAGGUUUAUUUUAGCUGCCAAAACGAAUAGUGUUGGUUUUGAAGUGCAUAACAUGCUUUCUAUGACAUAUUAAGGUACAUUGAUGUGCACCUUUUCUUUAAAAGUCCUUGUUUGCAAACAAGCUAUUAAGGGAAAACCUUAGAUAUUUUCUAGAUUAUACUUCUUAACAUUGUGCAACUUCAUGACAAAUACUAAUUGCGACGAUUGAUUUUCCUUAAUGCAUCAAGAUUCCUGUAUCAAGACGUAGCCAUGCAAUUCAUAUUUCUUCUUUUGUUAAGGAUCAUCAUCCCUUUAUUCUUUACUUCAACCUAAUUUGCUUCACCAACUCAUGAUUGAUAACUCUCUCU